UACGUAGGGUGCAAGCGUUAAUCGGAAUUACUGGGCGUAAAGCGUGGGCAGGCGGUGAUGUAAGACAGUUGUGAAAUCCCCGGGCUCAACCUGGGAACUGCAUCUGUGACUGCAUCGCUGGAGUGCGGCAGAGGGGGAUGGAAUUCCGCGUGUAGCAGUGAAAUGCGUAGAUAUGCGGAGGAACACCGAUGGCGAAGGCAAUCCCCUGGGCCUGCACUGACGCUCAUGCACGAAAGCGUGGGGAGCAAACAGG
This 253-nucleotide ribosomal RNA is filed under the name uncultured bacterium. RNAcentral describes it as "partial 16S ribosomal RNA". It matches the Rfam family "Bacterial small subunit ribosomal RNA", at positions 524 to 776 of the family's 1533-position model. The record is from RNAcentral.